RNAcentral lists this ribosomal RNA (825 nucleotides) under Ocypode ceratophthalmus. RNAcentral describes it as "eukaryotic LSU rRNA". The record is from RNAcentral. Lineage: Eukaryota; Metazoa; Arthropoda; Malacostraca; Decapoda; Ocypodidae.
GUAAUUCUAGACGCACUUUCCAGUACACCUACUAUGUUACGACUUAUUUCACCUAUAAAUGAAAGCGACGGGCGAUAUGUACAUAAUUUAGAGCCUAUUUCUUGGGGACAUACUUUAUCCCCAAUACAAUUAAAUCCUCCUUCAUAUAAAUUUUCAUAUUAUAUUCCGUUUAAAUUAAUUUAUUGUAACCCAUUUAAACUUGCUCAUAAGCUGUACCAUGAUCUAAUUUUACUAGAUAAACUAAACCUAACAAUUUCUCUUUUUAGAAUCAUCUGAUAAUGAUGGUAUACAAACUAAACUACACAAGAGCAAGUAAGAUCCUACGCGGUGUAUCGAUUAAAAAACAGGUUCCUCUAAAAAGAUUAAACUACUGCCAAAUUUUUUAAUUUUUAAGUAUAUAACUCUUACUAAUCCAGUAUUUAUUCGUUUCAAUUUAGAAUAAUAGGGUAUCUAAUCCUAGUUUUAAACUAAAUUUAUUAAGUUUCAGCUCAAGUCUUAUUUGUUUAUAAACUAUAUUCUGAUUUUACCCUUUAUAGUAACUAAACUUUUCUACUCAACUAACCACUUUACUUUUAACUCAAACAUUUUUUCUUAACCUUGAAGUCUAACCGCGAAUGCUGGCACAAACAUUUAUCAGGUUUCCUUUAUAUUAUUAACUCACACUUGCGUGCAAACCUUAAUAAGCUAUGCUGAGAUUUUAUACAUUAUCAAUCUAAUUUCCACUUCAAAGUAAACCAGUAUCAAACUGACUCACUGAUCACUCAUCUAUAAUUUUCAUGCAAUCUUAAUAUAAACGAAAAAAUUUAAGCCAAAAUCAAACAUUUA